GUAGGGAAUAUUGCGCAAUGGGGGAAACCCUGACGCAGCGACGCCGCGUGAGGGAUGACGGCCUUCGGGUUGUAAACCUCUUUUAGUAGGGAAGAAGCGAAAGUGACGGUACCUGCAGAAAAAGCACCGGCUAACUACGUGCCAGCAGCCGCGGUAAUACGUAGGGUGCAAGCGUUGUCCGGAAUUAUUGGGCGUAAAGAGCUCGUAGGCGGCUUGUCGCGUCUGCUGUGAAAACCCGAGGCUCAACCUCGGGCCUGCAGUGGGUACGGGCAAGCUAGAGUGCGGUAGGGGAGAUUGGAAUUCCUGGUGUAGCGGUGGAAUGCGCAGAUAUCAGGAGGAACACCGAUGGCGAAGGCAGAUCUCUGGGCCGUAACUGACGCUGAGGAGCGAAAGCAUGGGGAGCGAACAGGAUUAGAAACCCGAGUAGUCC
This 430-nucleotide ribosomal RNA is filed under the name uncultured bacterium. RNAcentral describes it as "partial 16S ribosomal RNA". It matches the Rfam family "Bacterial small subunit ribosomal RNA", at positions 354 to 796 of the family's 1533-position model. The record is from RNAcentral.